UGUUCUGUAGCUUAGUUGGUUAAAGCGCCGGUCUAGCGUACAUGGAGUACGUGUCGUGAGUCGUGAGUUCGAGUCUCACUAAAACGC
This 87-nucleotide transfer RNA is filed under the name Aedes aegypti (yellow fever mosquito). It matches the Rfam family "tRNA". Rfam says of the family: Transfer RNA (tRNA) molecules are approximately 80 nucleotides in length. Lineage: Eukaryota; Metazoa; Arthropoda; Insecta; Diptera; Culicidae. The record is from Rfam by way of RNAcentral.